GACGAACGCUGGCGGCGUGCUUAACACAUGCAAGUCGAACGCUGAAGCUUGGUGCUUGCACUGGGUGGAUGAGUGGCGGACGGGUGAGUAAUACGUGAGUAACCUGCCCUUGACUCUGGGAUAAGCCUGGGAAACUGGGUCUAAUACUGGAUACGACAUGUCACCGCAUGGUGGUGUGUGGAAAGGGUUUUACUGGUUUUGGAUGGGCUCACGGCCUAUCAGCUUGUUGGUGGGGUAAUGGCUCACCAAGGCGACGACGGGUAGCCGGCCUGAGAGGGUGACCGGCCACACUGGGACUGAGACACGGCCCAGACUCCUACGGGAGGCAGCAGUGGGGAAUAUUGCACAAUGGGCGGAAGCCUGAUGCAGCGACGCCGCGUGAGGGAUGACGGCCUUCGGGUUGAAAACCUCUUUCAGCGCGGAAGAAGCGAAAGUGACGGUACGUGCAGAAGAAGCGCCGGCUAACUACGUG
RNAcentral lists this ribosomal RNA (472 nucleotides) under uncultured bacterium. RNAcentral's name for it is "partial 16S ribosomal RNA". It matches the Rfam family "Bacterial small subunit ribosomal RNA", at positions 28 to 507 of the family's 1533-position model. The record is from RNAcentral.